This 223-nucleotide long non-coding RNA is filed under the name Elaeis guineensis (African oil palm). Its description in RNAcentral is "long non-coding RNA (EGUI_LNC029287)". Lineage: Eukaryota; Viridiplantae; Streptophyta; Magnoliopsida; Arecales; Arecaceae. The record is from RNAcentral.
AUAAAUUCUGUCAUCAAUACCGACGUUCUUAAUAUCAAUCAAUAAUUAUUUUAAUAAUAUAAUUAUAUAGUAAAAAAUAAUAAAUUAAAGAAUAUUAUAUAUUAUUUAAAAAAUUUAAUCAUACUCAGGUAUAUUAAUAUCAAUAUUAUUAAUAUAUAUUAUAUAUUAAAUAAUAAACUUUAGUAUAUUAAUAUCAGUAUUAUUUAUACGAGGUGCCUACAUG